Molecule: long non-coding RNA, 7945 nt
Filed under: Gossypium barbadense (sea-island cotton)
Lineage: Eukaryota; Viridiplantae; Streptophyta; Magnoliopsida; Malvales; Malvaceae
Description: long non-coding RNA (GBAR_LNC009020)
Source: RNAcentral
CUCAAACUAGAUUUUAUUAGAGCCAAAGAAAAACCAACAGAAACAAAUAAUAGGCUAGAAACCCAUCAACCCCAACCCAGAAGCAAAACACAGAACAAAAAGGGAAAGUUCAAAACUAAAAACAACAAACUAACCCAGUCCGAAAUGAACUGGCCCCCAUUCAUGCUUUCAAAUAAUCUCAAAAACAUUGUUGUCGGUUACAGUUCCCCGAGGCAAAAACCCUAAAGCUAUCAUCACUCAAUAUCCCAUUCUCUGUCUUUUAGAUCCCAGCGACUCCAAAGCAUAUCUGGGCAAUGAAUCCUUCCAGGUAAACCUCCUCUCGUCUUUUUAAGCUCUCUGAUGCAAUUUUAUGUGCUAUUUUAUUUGUUAGUCUUUGGAUGUAUUUAAACUGGAUGCUUUGAAAACCACUUUUCUUGUACUGAAUAUCUAUGAUAUACGCACCUAUUUUCAAUUUUUCAAUGGUUGUGGACAAACAUUUCUUUAUGAUUGUCGAUGUAUCGCCUUCAAUCUCUAUCUUCUCUACUCCCAUGGCUAACCCUAACCUCAUUGCUUAAGCACAUGCACAAGCCUCCGCUACGAACGGAGAUGCAACCUCCAUGUUCAAAGUAGAUUUUAAGACCAAAACCUCACCUCUAUUGUUUCGAUCCACCAUCCCCGAAACCGAUCUAUACCGCCUGCAAUCAUAGGCCACUUCAAGGUUGAUUCUAACAGACUAGGUUUCUUGUGGACUCCAAUCGGGCACAAUCCACUGCCUGGUAAGGGUUCUUUCCCCCCCUUCGUCCAUUUCCUUAAUGAAUCCGUGAGUCAUUUCAGCGAUCCCCUUCCUAGUACUAAGCUUCCCUUCAUGCAAUUUCUUAUGUCGCUCUAUCCAAAUUACCCAUCAGGUACAACAGAAUAGUCAACAUAGAGAAGUAGAGCUCCUGUUAAAGACCUAAGUGAGCCAUUCCCAAUUUUCUAAAUUUGGCAUAGAUACAAUCCAUGUGAGGUUUAAUAUAGUCCAGGCUUCCAAUGACAGAGAGAAAACUUGGAACACAUGCAUAAUAUUCUCCACUCCCCAUUCGUACCUUGAACACACUGUAACUCCCCCCAGUCUUUGAAACUGUAAAUUAUUAAGGGUAGGCAGGAAAUUUCAUGAGAUUAUUGUAAUUUUUUGCUUAGCACUUAAGUUAAGGUUCCACAAUUGUUGGUAAAAAUUUUUAAUACCUUGCUGUAAAUCCAUAGCUUUAGGAUCAAAAUUUCAUUCUAGCAAUAUUUUGUAACCGCUUCUCACCGAGAAUCCACCAGAAUAUUCACUUUUCUACACCAAUAGGUCCUGUACACCACCGUGGCUAACGAAAUCUGGAGGAUUCUACCCACAUCAGCUUUAGUAAAGGUACAAUUGAUAACAUCUUCUUUCCAAGUUCAAGAUAAGUUAUCUAUUAAAUCUGAUACUCUUGUAAUACCACUAUUAAUACUGCCACUGAUUUUGUAGUUCGCAGUUCCUAAAACCCGCGCAUCCUCUGUCACUGAGAUUUUCUCCCUUUUACCCACUCUCCAGCACAACCCUUUCUGCAAGUCCUUUCGUUGCCGAUAUACUCUGCCAGGUAUAAGAAGGUAUGCUUCCUAAUAUUGAAUCUAAGAAGUCACACUGUGGGUGAUACGGGGUUGCGCGCGGACCAAGAUCGAGUUGCCAAGUCACGAGAAACUCCUACGAAAACCCUAAACAAUUAGAUCUGAAACGAAAACAGAAAAUUAAAAGAUUAGAUUUUUGAAUUUUCAGAUCUGAAAUAAAAUCCCCAAAACAGUAAAGAAUCAAAUAGAGAAUAGAAAUAAGUGUUAGGGUUCUUGAAACCCUCAAGGAGAUUGUGAUUCUGCCCAAUUGAACACCAAGAUAGUUUUUCCCAAAUUUCGACAAUCUAAUUUCACCCAAAAAGAGUAUGAAAAAACCCUAGAAAUUGGGGAUUUUUGGGCUGAUUCCUUAAGAUAGAAAAAGGCUGAAAACACAAUAAGAACAGAAAAUAGAUUAGAUAAUGAUUCAGCACAAGUAGAAAUAAAGAAAUAAAACGAAACAACAAGAAAUAAAGAAAGUCCUAAAGAUCCUUGAAAUCCCGAAAGAUUUCACAAAUCCCUUCAAACGGCUCUAAUCUCCCCUCCAAAGAAUAUCAAUGGCAAGAAGAAGGUUGAAGAUGGCUCCCACAAUCAAAAGAUUGUUAAAACAACUUCUAAAGAAAACUCAAGAGAGAAAUCUUGGAGAAAACUCAAAGAAAAUUCUGCUCUCAACAAAUCUGAAAUUUUAAUAAUAAUGAUAAGUGUUUAACAAGGUGGACAGCCAUGCCUUUAAAUAGGCCUUAUAACUAGUCCUAAUCUAAUUAGAAAAUUAAAAUAAAAAAAAACUCCUAAUUAUUUUAAUAUGGAAAUUCGGUCAAAGGUCAUUUUAUCUGGGACUCUUGGACUGAAUAUUGACAUAAAAAUUUAAAUUAAGUAAAUAAAUAAAUAAAUAAAAAUAAAAAUAAAACUUUACAACUUGGGCCACUUUGACAAUUUGGCCUGAUUUUCAACUAAGUAUGGAUGGAUUUCUUGAUUGGGCUGGGAAUUUGCUUAUUGGGCCUCGCCUUCAAGAAUUUGGGCUUUUGUGACUCGUAUCAGUGGGUGAUAUUUUUCUUUUAAAACAUGAGUUAAUAAUGAAUCUGCGUUUUGAAUUAGGCGCCAACCUUGUUUGGAUAACAAAGUAAGCUUAAAUUUGGUUAAACUACGGAAACCUAAUCCUCCAUUUUCCUCAAGGUCGCACAAUCUAUUCUAAUCACACCAAUGGAUGCCCUUUCGUCCAUGUUCCUUCUGCCACCAAAAUCGUGGCAUUAUACUCUCUAAUUCCCCAUAAAACAACUUUGGUAAUAAAAAACACAUCAUAGAAUACAUUGGGUAUGACUGCUUUUAUAAACACUUCAUUUCUCUAUUGAGACAAGAACCUCAUGCUCCAAUUAUCAUUUUUCUUCCUGAACUGAUCAUUUAGACCCUGAAACACCAUUUUCUUCCUCAUUCUAACUAAAUUUGGAAGCCCUAAAUACCUCUCAAUAUCAUUCGAAUGCUUAACCCCUAAGGUUCUCGAAACCACCACUCUAUCUCUCUCUGAAGUGUUUGAACUAAAGAAAAUAGUAGACUUUUCAUAGUUAAUACAUUGACCAGAACAUACCUCAUAUUCGCUUAGAACCCGCUUCAUUGUUUGGGCCCCCUUAUCAAUAGCUUCACAAAAUAAUACGCAGUUAUCUGCAAAAAGAAGAUGCGUGAUCUGCGGUCCCCUUCUAUUGACCUUGGCCCCUUUCAUUAAACCUUUAUUUAGAGCCAAUUUCAUCAAUGUUGAUAAGCCUUCACUACAUAUCAGAAAAAGGAACACACUCAAAGGGUCUCCUUGCGGAAACCCUCUACUCGGUAUAAAGACCUCACCAACCAUGUCGCUAACAAAUACCGAGUAUAAAACCGAUGUAAUACAUGUCAUGAUUAGAUUCACCCAAUCAUUAUCAAAGCCCAUCCUUUCCAUCAUCAUUCUAAGAAAACCCCAUUUGACCCUGUCAUAAGGUUUUCUCAUAUCAAGCUUUAGCGCCAUAAAACCCUUUUUCCUUGCUCUCUUCUGUCGAAAAGAAUGAAGAAUUUCAUAAGGCAACAACACAUUAUCAUAUAUCAACCUUUCAGGUACAAAGACCCUUUUACUGGGAAAUGUACCCAUAUUUUAAUAAACAUGUAACUGUUUUCUAUUUAUUUGAACGAUGAAUAAAAAAAUAAAGUUAAUUUCACAUUACACUAUUAUGUCUUUUUGUAUUUUUUACCUUUAAUAUUUUGCAUGCAUAGCGAAAUUGUGACAAGCAAAUAUUAGCUCAUUGAUUGUUUAAAGUUCAAACUGAAGAUAAGUGGCAUUGUAAAGGACAUUUAUAUUGCGAGAAAGACAACUUACUUUAGUAGAUAAUCUAAAUGAAUCCAUAAUCCCGUAAAAAAAUCAAAGUGAGUAUUUGAUUCAAAUACUGAGUAGGAUUAUUAUGUCGUCUACAAUUCCAAUUGGGUAGAUAACUAAUCUUGGCUAUCAGAACAGUUGACUCCAUGAGUAGAGACAUACAUGUAUUCAUUGGUAGAAUGAUACAUUGAACUGGACCCAAUAUGAAUUAAUUCUGAAUCCGUUUGUGAAUUAAUUCACUUGUGACGUUCAUAGUGUAACAACCCGAUUUAGACCCUAAUCAGAAUGGUGGUUUCGGGACCAUGAAUUCGAGUCAGAAAAAUAUUUAAAAAUGAUUUUAUGUGUUUAUUUUGUGUGAAUUUAUAUAUGUGAAAUUUUUGUAAUUUAAUUUUAUCGUUUAGGUAUCCGAUUAAAUAAAAUGACUUAAUCGCGUAAGAUGAAAAUUUGGUGGUUAGUAGAAUAAAGUACCGAAUUGCUAUUGGCUUUUAAAGUUGAAGUUUGUAGAUAGACCAUUUGAUUAGGUAAUGGCCGAUUGUACCCAUGAAUUAUGUGUUUAAGUUAUUUAAUUAUAAAGGUUAUAUUAGUAAUUAAUUAAAAUGUUAAUAUAUAUCAUAAUAAAACAUAAGUAAAAUACAUGUUAUAUUUUUUUUCACCACCGAAAUAACAAAUAGGAAAGAAAAAAAGAAAAGAACUAGGUUCGGCCAUCCUCUCAAGCUCGAUCAAGAUUCAUUUUUUUGUUCAGUUUUUGAUAAUUUUUACGUUUUUGAGAUCGUUACUUCGAGUACUACAAAACUUAUGCUUAAAUUUUUUAUUUUGGUGAAUAUUUUGAGUUAUGCCAUUAUUGAGAGCUUGUGAUUUUUGUUGUCUGAUGAUGAACUAUGAAAGAUAUGUUUUAGACUAACAUGUUUUGUAUUGUAGUUUUUGAUGAUUUUGAGUAAUUAGGGCUAAAUUGCUAAAAUAAUAAUUUGAGUGACUAAAAUAUAAAAUAAAUGAAAUAUAUGGAUUCGUAUGAGAGGGUAAAAUUCGGCCCAACAUCGAUAUCUUGAAAUUUUGUAUAUAUUGUGUUUUGUGCAAUAUGGACUAAAUUGUAAAAAUUAUAAAUGUCAGGGGUAAAAUGGUAAUUUUCUCAUUUAUGUGUUUUUGGAUUUAAAUUGAAUGAAAAUAUGUUUGAAUGAGCUUAAUUUGAAUAUUUUUAGAUCAAGAACUAAAGAAAUCAGAUUUAGAUCGGGGAAAAAUGAAAGUGGUCGACUAGUUGCCCUGUUCCAUUUUACAUCGUCCGAGGUAAGUUUAUAAGCAAAUAGACGUGUUUAGUGGUAGUUAAAUGUUAAUAUUACAUGCUGGUAUGAAAUGUGUGAAUAUAUAUAAGCUAUGGCCGAAUAUGACUAAGCUUGGGUAAUAUAUCUUCGGAUGGGUUUCGACCAAGUUACGACGUCCGAAAUCCUAGUAUGAACCUUAGGAAUAGUUAGGAUACAUAUGUCAUGACGUAAGAUUUCGAUAUAUGUGUACGAGUAAAAGUAUGGCAUCGAUAUGUGAUUCCGAUAUAUGUUUACGAGUAAGACCCUGUCUGGGACAGUGGCAUCGAUAUGUGACUACAUGUAAGACCACGUCUGGGACGUUGGCAUUGUACGACUUAUGUGUUUAUUUGAGUGUCCUACCCAAUUUCGAAUGGUUCAUCAGGCUACGAUAAGGUGUGAAUGUACAUGUUGAAUAAGCUAAAUGACCAGGUAUGAAAUAGGUUAAUAUCACUUGUGAUAAGGUAAGUAAGUACUUAAUGUUUGAUACAAAUGAUUUAUGAGGUAAAUGUAGAAUGUGUAUGUUCGAUCUUGAUAGAUAUAUUGUGAUUGCCUUCGAAAUGAUAUGUGAUAUGUGUAUAGAUGUAACCAUGUGUAUUCGGCCAUUUAGGUAAUGUGUACAUGAUGAUAUAUUAUGAUGCUUGAGUUGUGUUUAUGAGUAUAAGUAUAUUUGAUUAUCUAAUGAUAUAUUGGCCUUAUAUUGGCCUUGUAAGUGAAAUAUGAAUUACUUAUAUUGGUUAUUUGUGCAUUUAGCUAAGGUAGGAAUUUUGUAUAAAGACAAAAAUAUCAUUUAUGAAAUUGGCAGGUUGAGACUAAGCAUAAUUAUGCUAGUAUAAUUCGGUUUAGUUUAAAAUGAGUCGGAUAUAUUACUAGAUUGUUUACUUGCUUAUGGCUUACUAAGCUAUAAUAGCUUAUUGUGUGUGUAUUUGUUUCUGUUUUAUAGAUUUUAGAUUCAAGUUUCAAGCUCGGGGAUCGUCAGCAAAGUCUAUCACACUAUUGACCGCUUUUGGUAUUUAUAAAGUUGCAUUUUGGAACUAUGGCAUGUGUAGGCUGCAAUAUAUUUUUGGAAAUGUUGAAUUUGGUUAUGUAAUUAAAGCCAUGCUAAUAUAGCUUGCUAUUUUUGUUUGGAUUUAGUUUUAUGGGUGCUUAGUUAUAAGGUUUAGUAAGUUUGGUUUAGAAAUUUGGUUAUGCUUGAUAAUGGUUUAAAUUCGUUUAGUUAAAGUGAGUAGUACUAUGAAUGGAUGAUGUUUGUGGUAAGUAUUUCAUGAAUUGAAAAUGGCUUUAAUCUUAGGUUCGAAUUCGGUUUUAGUUGAGUCAUGGUUUAAGUGUAUUUGAUUAUUAUGCUGUAUAUCAUGGUUGAUCAUUUUUAUGUUAUUUUGGAAAUGUAUCUAAGUGUAUAAAGCUUGUGAAGUACUUGUGAAGUACUUUGUGUUCAGCUAUUUGUUUCCAUUGGGUGUUAAUUAAGCUAAGGUAGGUUAUGUGACAUUAGGUAAAAAUAAAAUCAAGACAUAUGCAUGGUUUAAAUUGAGUGGUCAUUGAUGGACUAUAUUAAUGAUGUGAAUGACACUUGAAUUGCGGUUUUAGUAAGUAAGACACAUUGGGAUUUAGAUUUAUAUAAGCAUUUGGGUUAAUGAUAAAGGACAUAUUUAGAUUUAUAUAAGCAUUUGGGUUAAUGAUAAAGGACAUAUGUGUACUUGGUAGACGGUCAUGUCAUGUUAGUUGAGUUUUAAAAUGUUUUACAUGUAUAAGUAUAUGUGCUUAUAAUAUGUUUGAUAUGUAUAUGUGCAUGGCAAUAUAAAUUCGUUAGAUAUUUAUAAGUUAUUAAAUAUGUAUAAAUGAAUUGAAUUAGCCAAGUAGACAUAGAAUUGAAAUGAGUUAUUUAUAACCGAAUGCUUGUUAUUAAAUUGUGUUAAAAUGCAAACAUAUGGAUCUCACAUAGAUUAAGGUAGUAUUAAGGUAGUAAUGCCGCAUAUAUGAAUGAAAGGGUUAGUAAUGAAACUUAGUUAAAUUGAUAUAUAUCUUGUGUAUAUGUAUGACUUAAUUAAGAAUAGAAAUAAAGGUUUAAUAUUCAAUAAUAACUUUAUUGAUAUGUUAUAUAUAUUCUGUAUAUGGAUUAAAUGAUUUUAAAUAUAUAUAUUGGAUUAUGUUUUAUUUAAGCUUUGAGGUGAAUGAUAAAACUUAUGAUUAUAUAUUGGAUUAAGUCAUAAGCAUUGAUGUGAUGUAAAUCUUGAAUUGUAUUGAACGAAUGUUUCGCAUUUGUAAUACGAUUGUUAAAUAUAGAUGAUUGUGACUUGAAUUAAUAUGAAAAUAUUCAGAACUUUGCUUUCGUUUAGUAAUGCCACGUAACUUUAUUCUGGUGACAGAUACGGGCUAAGGGUUUAGGGUUUAGGGUUUAGGGGUGUGAUUUACCUAAAUCCUGAGUUAGUUACUGACCAUUGCCAGUAUGUUGGGUUCAUGACUUGUAUAUAGCAUGGUUUUACUAGCAAUAGUGAAAUUCAUGGCUCAAUUAAAGAGUUAAUGAUAUCCUCUCAUUGGCAUUAUGUGAAUUAAUAAAUAUGAAAUGUGGCCAAUGGUUGCUAGUUCUUGAACGAGCAAUUUAUCACAAUUAUUUGUUGAUAGUGAUCAUAUUAAUCAUUAAGAAGACACAAUAGUGACAAUAAGAUAAAAAUAAGAUUGUAUUGAGUAAAUGAAUUUAACUCAAAGGAAUCAAGGAUAUCAUAUGAGGAUAAUA